Molecule: ribosomal RNA, 500 nt
Filed under: uncultured bacterium
Lineage: Bacteria
Description: bacterial SSU rRNA
Rfam family: Bacterial small subunit ribosomal RNA
Source: RNAcentral
GAUGAACGCUAGCGGCAGGCCUAACACAUGCAAGUCGAGGGGUAGAAUUAGCUUGCUAAUUUGAGACCGGCGCACGGGUGCGUAACGCGUAUGCAAUCUACCUUGUACAGGGGGAUAGCCCAGAGAAAUUUGGAUUAAUACCCCAUGGUAUAAUUAAUUUGCAUGAAUUGAUUAUUAAAGUUCCAACGGUACAAGAUGAGCAUGCGUCCCAUUAGCUAGUUGGUGUGGUAACGGCAUACCAAGGCGACGAUGGGUAGGGGUCCUGAGAGGGAGAUCCCCCACACUGGUACUGAGACACGGACCAGACUCCUACGGGAGGCAGCAGUGAGGAAUAUUGGUCAAUGGUCGGAAGACUGAACCAGCCAUGCCGCGUGCAGGAAGAAGCAUCUAUGGUGUGUAAACUGCUUUUGUACGGGAAGAAACACUCCUACGUGUAGGAGCUUGACGGUACCGUAAGAAUAAGGAUCGGCUAACUCCGUGCCAGCAGCCGCGGUAAAACG